RNAcentral lists this unclassified non-coding RNA (195 nucleotides) under rhizosphere metagenome. RNAcentral's name for it is "partial ribosomal RNA internal transcribed spacer region". The record is from RNAcentral.
GUAGGUGAACCUGCGGAAGGAUCAUUAAUGAAAUGUUAGAGCGUUCUUUUUAGAGGCUCGACCAAUUUAUUAUCUUACACCGUGAACAUACUGUUUUUUACACCCAUUUUAAACACCAAGUCUAUAAGAAUGUAAAGUCUCUUCAUUGAGCAUCAAAAGUUAUUAAAACUUUCGGCAACGGAUCUCUUGGCUCUC